Molecule: long non-coding RNA, 856 nt
Filed under: Olea europaea (common olive)
Lineage: Eukaryota; Viridiplantae; Streptophyta; Magnoliopsida; Lamiales; Oleaceae
Description: long non-coding RNA (OEUR_LNC000975)
Source: RNAcentral
UCCUUCACCAAAAUCGAAUCAAUAUAUCCAAGGUCAUCUGGGAUUGGUUAACUGAGCUUUAACUGUUCUCACAUGAAACAAGAUUAUCAGGCACAUGUAUAAAUCUUAUGCACUUUCAAGAUCGUCAAAUUUACUGUUGGUGCUUCCUCGUAGAACAAUAGUGGAAACAGGAUUCCCACCUUGGUCAUUUUUUAUGACCGUUACCUAUAAAAUUUCGAGAAUAUCAACAAUGGCAUAAGCUAUACAUUUGAGAGAUUAAAACAACUAAUGAAUCGUCAAACUAAUGUGUUUAUACCCUAAUCCCGUCUAUUUCCUUCAUCGAAAUCGAAUCAAUAUAUCCAAGGUCAUCUAGGAUUGGUUAACUGAGUUUUAACUGUUCUCACAUGAAACAAGAUCAUCAGGCACAUGUAUAAAUCUUAUGCACUUUCAAGAUCGUCAAAUAUGCUGUCAGUGCUUCCUCGUUGAACAAUACUGGAAACAGGAUUCCCACCUUGGUCAUUUUUUAUGAUUGUUGCCUAUAAAAUUUCGAGAAUAUCAACAAUGGCAUAAGCUAUACAUUUGAGAGAUUAAAACAACUAAUGAAUCUUCAAACUAAUGUGUUUAUAUCCUAAUCCCGUCUAUUUCCUUCAUCGAAAUCGAAUCAAUAUAUCCAAGGUCAUCUAGGAUUAGUUAACUGAGCUUUAACUGUUCUCACAUGAAACAAGAUCAUUAGGCACAUGUAUAAAUCUUAUGCACUUUCAAGAUCGUCAAAUAUACUGUCGGUGCUUCCUCGUAGAACAAUAGUGGAAACAGGAUUCCCACCUUGGUCAUUUUUUAUGAUUGUUCCCUAUAAAAUUUCGAGAAUAUCAACAAUGGC